GACGAACGCUGGCGGCGUGCUUAACACAUGCAAGUCGAACGAAGAGCGACGGAAGCUUGCUUCUAUCAAUCUUAGUGGCGAACGGGUGAGUAACGCGUAAUCAACCUGCCCUUCAGAGGGGGACAACAGUUGGAAACGACUGCUAAUACCGCAUACGAUCUAACCUCGGCAUCGAGGAUAGAUGAAAGGUGGCCUCUACAUGUAAGCUAUCACUGAAGGAGGGGAUUGGGUCUGAUUAGCUAGUUGGAGGGGUAACGGCCCACCAAGGCGAUGAUCAGUAGCCGGUCUGAGAGGAUGAACGGCCACAUUGGGACUGAGACACGGCCCAGACUCCUACGGGAGGCAGCAGUGGGGAAUCUUCCGCAAUGGACGAAAGUCUGACGGAGCAACGCCGCGUGAGUGAUGACGGCCUUCGGGUUGUAAAGCUCUGUUAAUCGGGACGAAAGGCCUUCUUGCGAAUAGUGAGAAGGAUUGACGGUACCGGAAUAGAAAGCCACGGCUAACUACGUG
This 510-nucleotide ribosomal RNA is filed under the name uncultured bacterium. RNAcentral's name for it is "partial 16S ribosomal RNA". It matches the Rfam family "Bacterial small subunit ribosomal RNA", at positions 28 to 507 of the family's 1533-position model. The record is from RNAcentral.